This 411-nucleotide ribosomal RNA is filed under the name Glyptomorpha sp. RNAcentral describes it as "partial 28S ribosomal RNA". The record is from RNAcentral. Lineage: Eukaryota; Metazoa; Arthropoda; Insecta; Hymenoptera; Braconidae.
CGAAUGAGGAGAUUCNUCGUCAGCUCAUUUUAUAUAUAUGCAAGUUAUGAUAUGGGUUACUGCUUUACUGUAGUAUUGCCUGUACAUUCUUGUAUAUUUAGAUGUAAGAUGUUGUCGGCGUGCACUUCUCCUCUAGUAGGACAUCGCGACCCGUUGAGUUUAUUGGUCUACGGCCCAAGUGGUAGAUUUUAAUGAAUCCAUUUAUUUGUAUUCAUUGAAAACCCUUGGUGUUUUUUUCUGACUGGUACUCGUCGGUAUUCGUAUGGUAUUGAGCCGCAUUAAUAAAUAUAUGCGUCCAUAUCUGUCACAAGCGAGAUUAAUUACUGAUAGUACGGACCCAGUGCCGUCGUUGGUAUUAAUCAGCUGUUGGUUGUACAGAAUUCUAGGACUGGCUUAUUUUUCAAAAAAAAA